GCCUUCAUGGUGUAGUGGGCAGCACGCUCGAUGUUUAUUCGAGAGGUCCGUGGUUCGAGUCCCGGCGAGGGCA
Molecule: transfer RNA, 73 nt
Filed under: Stegodyphus mimosarum
Lineage: Eukaryota; Metazoa; Arthropoda; Arachnida; Araneae; Eresidae
Rfam family: tRNA
About the family: Transfer RNA (tRNA) molecules are approximately 80 nucleotides in length.
Source: Rfam by way of RNAcentral